AAUGAACGCUGGCGGCAGGCCUAACACAUGCAAGUCGAGCGAGCAUUUCGGUGCUAGCGGCGGACGGGUGAGUAACGCGUGGGAACGUGCCCUUUUCUGCGGAAUAGUCCUGGGAAACUGGGGGUAAUACCGCAUACGCCCUUUUGGGGAAAGAUUUAUCGGAGCAGGAUCGGCCCGCGUUGGAUUAGGUAGUUGGUGGGGUAAUGGCCCACCAAGCCGACGAUCCAUAGCUGGUUUGAGAGGAUGAUCAGCCACACUGGGACUGAGACACGGCCCAGACUCCUACGGGAGGCAGCAGUGGGGAAUCUUAGACAAUGGGGGCAACCCUGAUCUAGCCAUGCCGCGUGAGUGAUGAAGGCCUUAGGGUUGUAAAGCUCUUUCAGCUGGGAAGAUAAUGACGGUACCAGCAGAAGAAGCCCCGGCUAACUCCGUG
Molecule: ribosomal RNA, 433 nt
Filed under: uncultured bacterium
Lineage: Bacteria
Description: partial 16S ribosomal RNA
Rfam family: Bacterial small subunit ribosomal RNA
Source: RNAcentral